Molecule: long non-coding RNA, 841 nt
Organism: Lemur catta (Ring-tailed lemur)
Lineage: Eukaryota; Metazoa; Chordata; Mammalia; Primates; Lemuridae
Exons: 4
Source: RefSeq, a predicted model, not a curated record
UCGCGACGAAGCGUUUGCGCAGGUGUGGGCUGGAAACGGCCCUUUGGCGCCUGCGCACCGCAGGGAGGAGGGCCUGUUGCGCCCCGGCGAGGGAGCUACCUGGCUGUUUGAGGCCGGCCGCGUGGUGGCGCCCGUGACCGCAGAGAUUCCAUCGGGCCCUAUUUCUAUUUUCCUGAGUUUGAUGGACCUGACGCGGCAGGGUCUGUGAGUGUACCUACCCUCGAGGACAGAGAACAUGCAUGGCUCUCCCAAUCCAGCUUGAUUCUGAAGCCCAGAUCCCCAGCCAGCCCACUGCCCCUGCCUGAGGGCCACACAGCCAUGGGUUUCCUGUGGAUCAUCUCAGGAACCAUCUGAACGAUCCAGAAACGAUUCUCAACCUAGAAAUUGCUCUUUCUGCUAAAGACCCAGGAGCUCUCCAGCCCGCUCACCCUUGUCACUCAGGUUUGGUACAGGAAAAUGGAUACUGGUGUAUUCCAACAGUUGGACACUACACAGCAAUGACAAAAGAAUGAACCGCUACUACACACAGCAACGUGAAUCUCCUAAACAUAAGGUUGAAAGAAAGGAGCCCACUGCAGAAGAGAGCAAAUAUGGUGUGAUUCCAGUUAUAGGACAUUCAAAACCAAGCAAAACUGUAAUAAAUGGUGGUAAAACUAAGAAUAGGGUUAACUCUGGGGGGCAUUAUUGACUGAGAGCAGAAGAAAUGAGGAAAACUUGUGGGGUUCUGGAAAUCUUUUAUAUUUUGAUCUGGGUGGUGGUUACACAGGUAUAUACAUAAGUUAAAUUUAAUUAAACUGUACAGUUAAGACUUACGCGUUUUGCUAUAUGUUAUACAUCAAUA